UACAGAGGGUGCGAGCGUUGUCCGGAAUCACUGGGCGUAAAGGGCGCGUAGGCGGUCUGGUAAGCGUGUGGUGAAAGCCCGGGGCUCAACCCCGGGUCGGCCACUGCGAACUGCUGGACUGGAGCAGAUCAGAGGCAGGCGGAAGUUCCGGGUGUAGCGGUGGAAUGCGUAGAGAUCCGGGAAGAACGACCGGUGGCGAAGGCGGCCUGCUGGGAUCUUGCUGACGGCUGAGGCGCGAGCAGCGG
This 245-nucleotide ribosomal RNA is filed under the name uncultured bacterium. RNAcentral describes it as "partial 16S ribosomal RNA". It matches the Rfam family "Bacterial small subunit ribosomal RNA", at positions 524 to 765 of the family's 1533-position model. The record is from RNAcentral.